Molecule: ribosomal RNA, 458 nt
Filed under: uncultured bacterium
Lineage: Bacteria
Description: partial 16S ribosomal RNA
Rfam family: Bacterial small subunit ribosomal RNA
Source: RNAcentral
CCUACGGGAGGCAGCAGUGAGGAAUAUUGGUCAAUGGGCGAGAGCCUGAACCAGCCAAGUCGCGUGAGGGAGUACUGCCCUAUGGGUUGUAAACCUCUUUUGUCGGGGAGCAAAAGCCGGACGUGUCCGGCUGUGAGAGUACCCGAAGAAAAAGCAUCGGCUAACUCCGUGCCAGCAGCCGCGGUAAUACGGAGGAUGCGAGCGUUAUCCGGGUUUAUUGGGUUAAAAGGGUGCGCAGGCGGAUUUUUAAGUCAGCGGUAAAAUCGUGGGGCUCAACCCCAUCCAGCCGUUGAAACUGGGGAUCUAGAGUGUGCGAGAGGUAUGCGGAAUGCGUGGUGUAGCGGUGAAAUGCAUAGAUAUCACGCAGAACCCCGAUGGCGAAGGCAGCAUACCGGUGCACAACUGACGCUCAGGCACGAAAGCGUGGGUAUCGAACAGGAUUAGAUACCCUGGUAGUC